Molecule: long non-coding RNA, 1068 nt
Organism: Venturia canescens
Lineage: Eukaryota; Metazoa; Arthropoda; Insecta; Hymenoptera; Ichneumonidae
Exons: 3
Source: RefSeq, a predicted model, not a curated record
UUUUCGUAACUCAAAGUUAUUUUGCUUCGGCUGAUACAUUCGUUCUAGUUCACUCAUGAGUUCGUCAAAAGUCAUUGAUAUGUGUUCAGCUCUUGAAUGAAACCACUCGAAUGCCCUCUUCGUCAGUUUCAUCCCGAUCAAUGUCUUCGCCGCGUCGUCUACUAGCUCUGAGAGAGGCGGCUCGUUCACCCUCCACGAACAAGAAGUAAUGCUAAAAUAUUUGCUCAAGAAACGCAAAGUCGACAAAGCGAAGGGAUUAGUUGUGUGGCGCAAGAUGAUCGAUGACGGGUUCUUGCCGCAUAGGACCCCGCAGACGCUACACAAUAACUUUAAAAAAUCUAUUCUUCCAAAGAUCGAAAAUUUCGAAAUACUAACUGUCGUCGAGCGACACCUAUUUUUGCAGUUGAGAGAAAACAAAAAACAAUGCAGAUAAAAAUUGAGAAAGUUAAAAAAAAAGAACUCAACUUAUAUACUCUUUCACAUAAAAAGUAUUAUUUUUUCAACUCAUUAUUUUUGUUUUAUCCGUCGGUCAAGUACAUAACGCCGCGUUUUCAUCGCUAUUUUUAUUAAGAGCUCUCUAGUCGAGAUUUUUCCACGAACUCGUGACGAGUAAUUACGUAUGGCAAAUAAAUAAGUUUAGGCUGUGACUUCACGAGUACACGAAGAAAAUUACUUCGUGAUUCUCCUCCUUUUUCUCCUCGAGCUCUUGAUUGAAAUUUAAAAAAAAUCUAAACUUUAAAAAUAACAAAAAAUAUAUUUUUUUUUUCUUUUUUAGUUAUAAGUUUCUCAAUGAUACGUUGAGCUCUGAUUGAAAUUAAAAAAAAAUCGAAGCAUUAAAAACAUGAAAAAAUAUAUUCUUUUUUUUUUCUUUUUUAGUCGUAAGUUUCUCAAUAAAACGUUGAACUCGCAAAAGAGCAAAAAAACGAUUGCGACAGAGUCGUUCAAGACCUUAUUUAAUACACAUCGUGUUGAUCGAGAGAAAGCCCUUGAGAAUGAGAGAGUACAAAAUCAAAACUAUUGUUAAGUGUAUUGUUAUUGGAUUAAAGUUUUGCAAAUUUUGCUCGACAA